Molecule: small nuclear RNA, 282 nt
Filed under: Cebus imitator (Panamanian white-faced capuchin)
Lineage: Eukaryota; Metazoa; Chordata; Mammalia; Primates; Cebidae
Description: 7SK RNA (ENSCCAG00000007092.1)
Rfam family: 7SK RNA
About the family: 7SK was discovered as an abundant small nuclear RNA in the mid-70s but a possible function has only recently been suggested. Two independent studies have found that 7SK RNA binds the CDK9/cyclin T complex (known as elongation factor P-TEFb). P-TEFb activates transcription by phosphorylating the C-terminal domain of RNA polymerase II.
Source: RNAcentral
AUGUGUGAAGGUGAUCUGGCUGUGACAUCUGUCACCUCACUGAUCACCAGGGUUGAUUUGACUGAUCUGGCUAGGCAGGUAUCCCCUUCCUCCCUCACUGCUGCAUGUGUGUCCCUCCCGAAGCUGUGUGCUCAGUCAAAGUGGACAACCAUCUCCGAUAGAGGAGGACCAGUCUUCGGCCAAGGGUAUAGAGUAGCUGUGCUCCCCUGCUAGAACCUCCAGACAAGCUCUCAAGAUUCAACAUAUUCAUGCAUGCAGUGGAGUUUCUUUGAAGGCUUUCUC